UACGUAGGCAGCGAGCGUUGUUCGGAAUUACUGGGCGUAAAGAGUGUGUAGGCGGUGCUCUAAGUUCGGUGUGAAAUCUCCCGGCUUAACUGGGAGGGUGCGCCGGAAACUGGAGUGCUCGAGCGUGGGAGAGGAAAGCGGAAUUCCUGGUGUAGCGGUGAAAUGCGCAGAUAUCAGGAAGAACACCCGUGGCUAAGGCGGCUCUCUAGUACGGUACUGACGCUGAGACGCGAAAGCGUGGGGAGCGAACAGG
Molecule: ribosomal RNA, 253 nt
Filed under: uncultured bacterium
Lineage: Bacteria
Description: partial 16S ribosomal RNA
Rfam family: Bacterial small subunit ribosomal RNA
Source: RNAcentral